UCCCUGGUGGCUCAAAUGGUAAAGAAUCUGCCUGCAAUGCAGAAGACCCAGGUUCGAUCCCUGGGUAAGGAA
RNAcentral lists this transfer RNA (72 nucleotides) under Bos taurus (domestic cattle). It matches the Rfam family "tRNA". From Rfam's summary of the family: Transfer RNA (tRNA) molecules are approximately 80 nucleotides in length. Lineage: Eukaryota; Metazoa; Chordata; Mammalia; Artiodactyla; Bovidae. The record is from Rfam by way of RNAcentral. RNAcentral also lists the same sequence under 5 other names.